UCCGGAGGAUGCAAGCGUUCUCCGGAAUGAUUGGGCGUAAAGCGUCCGCAGGUGGCUGUGUAAGUCUGCUGUCAAAGAGCAAAGCUCAACUUUGUAAAGGCAGUGGAAACUACACGGCUAGAGUGCGUUCGGGGCAGAGGGAAUUCCUGGUGUAGCGGUGAAAUGCGUAGAGAUCAGGAAGAACACCGGUGGCGAAGGCGCUCUGCUAGGCCGCAACUGACACUGAGGGACGAAAGCUAGGGGAGCGAAUGGG
RNAcentral lists this ribosomal RNA (253 nucleotides) under uncultured bacterium. RNAcentral describes it as "partial 16S ribosomal RNA". It matches the Rfam family "Bacterial small subunit ribosomal RNA", at positions 524 to 776 of the family's 1533-position model. The record is from RNAcentral.